RNAcentral lists this long non-coding RNA (393 nucleotides) under Canis lupus familiaris (dog). RNAcentral's name for it is "lncRNA (ENSCAFG00845016255.1)". Lineage: Eukaryota; Metazoa; Chordata; Mammalia; Carnivora; Canidae. The record is from RNAcentral.
AUGUCCCUCCCAGCCUCAGGAAGGUGCUGUGGGAAAUUCCCACGGUGCCCUCUCAUGGGGAAAAAAAGCAGUAGAGAUAUCUCUACUUCUCCACACCUUCACAUGAUAAAGGCCUUUCGAUUUGGCUUCUUUCCAAAUUACAAGCAAACAUGGAAGGCAGUGGCUUUUUAUUUGAUCCUCUUAUGCAUAGAUUAUUGCUGGCAGAGGGGACCUUAUGCCCCCCAGACCCACUUCCCAGUGCAUGGAGGAAUGCUUUCAGAGCGGCAAGCCUUGCACUCUCUUCCCAGACAUUCAACUCAAAGCAGGUCAGCAAUUGCUCUUUACCUAGUUAAAAGCAAAAGAAAUGGCACUGAGAUGAAAUUUUUCAUUAAUCAGAUUAACAAAGAUUGGUAA